CUGGAUGAUGGGUGUGUGUGUGCUGGAUGAUGGGUGUGUGUGUGCUGGAUGAUGGGUGUGUGUGUGCUGGAUGAUGUGUGUGUGAGUGUGUGCUGGAUGAUGUGUGUGUGAGUGUGUGCUGGAUGAUGGGUGUGUGAGUGCUGGAUGAUGGGUGUGUGAGUGCUGGAUGAUGGGUGUGUGAGUGAGUGCUGGAUGAUGGGUGUGUGAGUGCUGGAUGAUGGGUGUGUGAGUGCUGGAUGAUGGGUGUGUGUGUGUGCUGGAUGAUGUGUGUGUGAGUGUGUGCUGGAUGAUGGGUGUGUGAGUGCUGGAUGAUGGGUGUGUGUGUGCUGGAUGAUGUGUGUGUGAGUGUAUGUGUGCUGGAUGAUGGGGAGGGGAAGCAUUUUUUUUUAACCUUAUGUGUAUGUAUAUUUUUUAUUUUAUUCCCCCCUCCCUGCUUCUUACCUUGUCAG
Pelobates cultripes (western spadefoot toad) is the source of this 449-nucleotide non-coding RNA. NCBI's taxonomy places the organism in Eukaryota, Metazoa, Chordata, Amphibia, Anura, Pelobatidae. The record is from the annotation of a GenBank genome assembly.